Molecule: ribosomal RNA, 467 nt
Filed under: uncultured bacterium
Lineage: Bacteria
Description: partial 16S ribosomal RNA
Rfam family: Bacterial small subunit ribosomal RNA
Source: RNAcentral
GACGAACGCUGGCGGCGUGCUUAACACAUGCAAGUCGAACGGAAAGGCCCUGCUUUUGUGGGGUGCUCGAGUGGCGAACGGGUGAGUAACAAGUGAGUACCUGCCCUUGACUUUGGGAUAACUUCAGGAAACUGGGGCUAAUACCGGAUAGGAGAUCCUGCUGCAGGGUGGGGGUUGGAAAGUUUCGGCGGUUGGGGAUGGACUCGGGGCUUAUCAGCUUGUUGGGGGGGUGGUGGCUUACCAAGGCUUUGACGGGUAGCCGGCCUGAGAGGGUGACCGGCCACAUUGGGCCUGAGAUACGGCCCAGACUGCUACGGGAGACAGCAGUGGGAAAUAUUGCACAAUGGGCGGAAGCCUGAUGCAGCAACGCCGCGUGCGGGAUGACGGCCUUCGGGUUGUAAACCGCUUUCGCCUGUGACGAAGCGUGAGUGACGGUAAUGGGUAAAGAAGCACCGGCUAACUACGUG